AGCAGCCGCGGUAAUUCCAGCUCCAAUAGCGUAUAUUGAAGUUGUUGCAGUUAAAAAGCUCGUAGUUGAAUUUCGGGAUCUGUCCGUUGGUCGGGCCUCACGGUCCGCACUGAUGCGAUGGAUUCCUACCUUCUGAAUAACCGGUAUGCCAUUAAUUUGAUGUGCCGGGGAAGCAGAACCAUUACCUUGAAAAAAUUAGAGUGCUCAAAGCAGGCUUGUGCCUGAAUACAUUAGCAUGGAAUAAUAAAAUAGGACGGCAUGGUUCUAUUUUGUUGGUUUCUAGGAUCACCGUAAUGAUUAAUAGGGAUAGUUGGGGGCAUUAGUAUUCAAUUGUCAGAGGUGAAAUUCUUGGAUUUAUUGAAGACUAACUUCUGCGAAAGCAUUUGCCAAGGAUGUUUUCAUUAAUCAAGAACGAAAGUUAGGGGAUCGAAGACGAUCAGAUACCGUCGUAGUCUUAACCAUAAACUAUGCCGACUAGGGAUCGGACGAUGUUAAUUUUAUAAUGACUCGUUCGGCGCCUUACG
Molecule: ribosomal RNA, 524 nt
Filed under: uncultured Glomeromycotina
Lineage: Eukaryota; Fungi; Glomeromycota
Description: SSU rRNA
Rfam family: Eukaryotic small subunit ribosomal RNA
Source: RNAcentral